UUACGACUCCGACUGGACGUAGAUCUGCCAAGUCUGACCGUAGGCACGGCACGGGGAAGAGGGGGAUCGGAAGGUAUUUCACGACUAGGAGAAGAAACCUUUGAGUCAUUGUCACUGCCACUACUGUUAGAAUUUAAAGACAAGGAACCCAAGGAAGAACCAGAAGAAUCGGUGUUUGAAGAACUUGAAGACGAAAGAGAAAGGAGCGAGCCGGGAGUACCAACAUCACCGGG
This is a non-coding RNA of Schizosaccharomyces pombe (fission yeast), 233 nucleotides long. NCBI's taxonomy places the organism in Eukaryota, Fungi, Ascomycota, Schizosaccharomycetes, Schizosaccharomycetales, Schizosaccharomycetaceae. The record is from the annotation of a GenBank genome assembly.